This 1383-nucleotide ribosomal RNA is filed under the name uncultured bacterium. Its description in RNAcentral is "bacterial SSU rRNA". It matches the Rfam family "Bacterial small subunit ribosomal RNA", at positions 27 to 1401 of the family's 1533-position model. The record is from RNAcentral.
GAUUGAACGCUGGCGGUAUGCUUAACACAUGCAAGUCGAACGGAAACGAUACUAGCUUGCUAGUAGGCGUCGAGUGGCGGACGGGUGAGUAACGCGUAGGAAUCUGCCUGAUAGUGGGGGAUAGCCCGAAGAAAUUCGGAUUAAUACCGCAUAAUCUAUUUGUAGUAAAGUGGGGGACUUUCGAGCCUCACGCUAUCAGAUGAGCCUGCGUAAGAUUAGCUUGUUGGUAGGGUAAAAGCCUACCAAGGCGACGAUCUUUAGCUGGUCUGAGAGGAUGAUCAGCCACAUCGGGACUGAGACACGGCCCGAACUCCUACGGGAGGCAGCAGUGGGGAAUAUUGGACAAUGGGGGCAACCCUGAUCCAGCAAUACCGCGUGUGUGAAGAAGGCCUGAGGGUUGUAAAGCACUUUCAAUUGUGAAGAAAAGUUAGCGGUUAAUAACCGUUAGCCUUGACGUUAACUUUAGAAGAAGCACCGGCUAACUCCGUGCCAGCAGCCGCGGUAAUACGGAGGGUGCAAGCGUUAAUCGGAAUUACUGGGCGUAAAGCGUGCGUAGGCGGUUUAUUAAGUCAGAUGUGAAAGCCCCGGGCUUAACCUGGGAACUGCAUUUGAAACUGGUCAACUAGAGUAUGGUAGAGGAAAGUGGAAUUUCUGGUGUAGCGGUGAAAUGCGUAGAUAUCAGAAGGAACAUCAAUGGCGAAGGCAGCUUUCUGGACCAAUACUGACGCUGAGGUACGAAAGCGUGGGUAGCAAACAGGAUUAGAUACCCUGGUAGUCCACGCCGUAAACGAUGAUAACUAGCCGUUGGGGGGAUUUACCCUUUAGUGGCGAAGCUAACGCGUUAAGUUAUCCGCCUGGGGAGUACGGCCGCAAGGUUAAAACUCAAAGGAAUUGACGGGGACCCGCACAAGCGGUGGAGCAUGUGGUUUAAUUCGAUGCAACGCGAAGAACCUUACCUGGUCUUGACAUCCUGCGAACUUUCUAGAAAUAGAUUGGUGCCUUCGGGAACGCAGUGACAGGUGCUGCAUGGCUGUCGUCAGCUCGUGUCGUGAGAUGUUGGGUUAAGUCCCGUAACGAGCGCAACCCCUAUCCUUAUUUGCCAGCACAUCAUGGUGGGAACUAUAAGGAGACUGCCGGUGAUAAACCGGAGGAAGGCGGGGACGACGUCAAGUCAUCAUGGCCCUUACGACCAGGGCUACACACGUGCUACAAUGGGAAGGACAAAGAGCCGCGAAGCCGCGAGGUGUAGCUAAUCUCAUAAACCUUUUCGUAGUCCGGAUUGGAGUCUGCAACUCGACUCCAUGAAGUCGGAAUCGCUAGUAAUCGUAGAUCAGAAUGCUACGGUGAAUACGUUCCCGGGUCUUGUACACACCGCCCGUCAAG